Molecule: long non-coding RNA, 4303 nt
Organism: Gadus morhua (Atlantic cod)
Lineage: Eukaryota; Metazoa; Chordata; Actinopteri; Gadiformes; Gadidae
Exons: 6
Source: RefSeq, a predicted model, not a curated record
AAGAAGACGAUGAGAAACUUUCGCCCUCUCCCUCUUCAACAAGAAGAUGAUAAACGAGAAAACUCCACAGAUAUCCCCCGAUGUUUGCCGUCCAUGUUGCGUCUCUUUCAACCUCAACAAGAAGAACAAACACAACCUGUUGCCAUGCAGGACCGGGAGAGCUUCCUCCCGGGAAAAGCCGGACUACACGCAGACUUUAGAGGCGAUAACGGGAGCAAGGGUGACACCGUGCGAUGGCUUUCACAAAGCGGUGUAUACAAGAUGCCGUUCAAUGUUGAGUAAAUACCAUAAGACCGUGUACGAGAUGGGCAGGAUCACAGCUUUUAUCCGUAAGAGAGCAGCAAGGCUGUCGGACUCCAAGGCAUCUCCAUGUAUCACUUCUCCAAUGGUGCGUCUCUUCUGGCUACUUGGAAUCAAAAUAAGUGUUUCUUAUUGUGUUUUGUGAUGCUCAAAGGGUGUGAUCUAGGAUUUGCUAUGAUUACAUAUACCCUCAAAUCUCCUCCAUGGUUAUCAAAUGCUUAUGUUGGAUGAAUAUGUUAAUUGUUGGAAAGCAGAAGAAGAGAUGGCUUCUUCACUGCAGGGUUGGCUGCACGGAAGUUGGAUUGAAUUGGUGAUCCUCUUGUGUGUCCCGAAGAUACUUGAUGUGUCCUUGUGUUGACAAUAAGUCAUGGUGAGAGCCUAGUUGAAUGAUGCUGGACCCGGUGAAUGGCGCAGUCUUGCUUGUUGCUGUCCUUCUACAGGGAUGGACGAGGAUGGCAGCGAAAAGCUCAGAGUCCCCUAUUACUCCCCUCUGAUUCUGAACGUUGAUACUUUGAUUUCAACAACUCGCUCCAAACUUGCAGUCCGAAUCGGACUGACCAAGGACGACUUUUAUCCCUGGCAAUCAUCUCUAUUGCGAUGAAGAGACUUUCAAAACUGAAAUCAACUAAAGUUGACUUCUGCAACAAAGUCAAAGUCACUGAUAUCUUUGUCCAAACGAAAUGGACGCUGUUUAGUGAGUAUGAAUAGUGGAAGUGCUGGAACACCCACCUGUAGCCGUCAUUUCACACCUGCCGACCUCGACAAGUCUCCUACAGGCAGUGUCUGUCUGAAACCUGGAUCCGUCCCGCUUUAAGGUUUCCCCAAAACUAAUACCCAAGACUGCCAAACCACCAGGCUCAGCAGAAGAUGCAGCCGGGAGAAUUCAAGAUCUUAGAUUAAGUAGUGACUAGAGACGCAGCCUGUCAGACAGAGAGCUCGGGGGCUCUGCAAACCGAGGAGAACCGGAAUCCUUCAAAGAGAACCGAGGCGUUCCAAGUGAAGGUGCCAGAACACGGUGUGCACCGCAUAAGAGACGAGCUGGACGUUGUCUGUUCGAAACCCGCAGAGACAGCGGCACUACGACACUGAAUCCUAUGAUGGAUCUCCCCCACGCCUCCCCCUUCCAGACGAUGUCACAGACUGGCACGCCAACAGCAAGAGCCUGUGAUCUAGAGGGGAGCUACACAUCACAGAUAGCCCUUCAUCUCAGCAGGCGGACGGCAGGGCCUGGGUGAGGGUGACCGUGAAGGAUGAAGGCGAGGAAGAAGAUAUCCCCUGGGUGAGGGGACGCCGAGAGGAAAGCGAGGAGCAGGAGGACCGAAAGCGCCCAGUUAGCUCCGCCGCUGCUGGCCCCCCAUCCAACGUUAGCGCUCUCUCGGAAACGCCCUCUCCUCGGCCUCGGGAAGAAGGAUGUACAGGAAGAGACGGGGACGACCGUGAAUGAUGAGGAGACGCUUUUCACUGGCCAGACUCUGGCGCCCCCUAGUGCUCUGUGUGUGAACCGCAUGUAGAGGUGGCGCAGGGAUACGGAGAGGAGGCAGAUGACAUGUUCCAGUGGCGGUCGGACUGCGGAGGAGGCGGCAUCUUUGUUCCGUCUCCACGGUAACAACGAUUCCACGACGGCUCUGACAUCAUCCGGUUCUAACCGAGGCGGGAGAAUAGCGUCGAAGUAGGGUAAACAAACUUUUGGAUCACAAUUUUCCCACUGAACCUCAGACUAUUCACAAAUCUGUUGACUUUUAAUUUGUACACACAAGACUGGAAAGGCUGGCUGUCACCUAUGACACAUUCUCUGAUUCGACGGGUUCUCCGUCAAUCACCUCUGGAACGUGAACCAAGUGGAAUGUGUUAUUGGUUGAUCGUUGAGUGGAUAUUUCAUCUGUCAACCGUUCGGCCCAAACUCUCGACUGAGCUGCAAUGCCAGACAAUAAUAAUACUGUCACUCAAAAUGAGGGUCUAUCUGUCGGAUGUCUGUUUAAUGGACUUGGGGAUUUGGGACCAAACUUGUCAGAACUCAACAAUGCACACACACACGCACACACACACUAAAGCAUCUGUGAGCACACAUAUUAACAAUUUCUGAAGUCAUAAAUACCGUUGAUAACAAUGUUUAUCACAUUGAUAGGGUUCUGUUCAACAUGGUCGUUGACAUAGUGUUACAUUGUAACUCCAAUGUAACGUCUUAUUGAUUUAUUAGAGUUGUGCUAUACAGAAAAGGCCACAAGGUGGCAGUAUGUGCGAAAGUCGGAGAGCAGCGCUCUGAAUUUCCAAGUAAACAAUUAAUUUAAUUGAAACAUCAAUUUGUGUUUUUGAUAAGGCUCGUUUACCGCAUUGCAAUCGGAAUAUAUACUGCUAAAGUAUAUGGGUUUAAUGUAAAAAAAAAAGUCUCACUCAAUUAACUUUGUCAUAAACAUUUUUAUGUUUCCCCAAUCUCGGAGAUGAGUAACAAAAAUACAGUUGUUCAAUAAUGUUCAUUUACAUAUUCAUGAGCAUGUACAAGUGAGAGCAGUCGAACAAAAAGUGCUUUUUUUUUUUUAAACAAGGAAUCAUCUUUGAAUAAUCACGUCAUCAUUGGUAAACCAACUAAAAAGAAAAAAGGUUAAUCUGAAUGGAAAAUGGAGAACAAUCCGUCCAGAUAAAAAAGUUGAGUCUCAGACGAGAGGAAUCAAACACAUUUCCGUUAGUGGAUCGUAAAAAAAAAUUGUGUGAAAAAUAAUCAUCAACUGCUGUGUUUUUGUGAUCCCCAGAUGGCGAGCUGAAUACCUCAGACAGUCAAUAAGUCAAAACAGGUCUUAAAUCUAUUACAUUUUGCACAACGCUUUGUAUGGCACGAGAGCCAUCCUCUGCUGAAACAUUUCCUUGUAGGGCGAAGUCUGGGCCAGUACAACACUAGAUGAGGUCGCCGUAUAUCCACGUUGGACAAGAUGAAACCCCCCUCCGACUCAUAUUAAACACAAUUUCACGAGGGGAGAACUAUUAGGUAAACCUAAUAAAUAAAACUAAUAUUUCCAGAAUCAACGUAAUCUCACACGCACGCACACAAUCACUGUGCAGACAUGACUGGGAGCCCCUAACCUAUGUUUUGUUAUAUUUGAUGGUGCAUAACAAGAAUGGUUCCAAUAUCGUUUUGUUGCCUCCAUGGCUUUUUAAUUAAUCUUUUUGCUCAUGUGAAAGAACACGCUGAACCAAAAGGAAAUCCAAUUAGUACACAAAGAGCAGUCACUGUGCUCAUUUACGUGUUCAUCGUCUCCCCGCCUGCCAACAGGUUUUAGAGGCUGGGGGGGGGGAAGCAGGUUAAGAGGGUAGAGGUCAUGCCAGGGUAUAGAAUCUAAAUCAAAGCAAUGUACACAGAAGCCUUUAUAUAGCCUUUAUAUCGGGACCUUAAGCCCCAGUGGGCGUUGUAUGGUUGCCAGUCAUUGUUUGACCCCGCCCACCUGGCGCGACUAGAGCUAUGAAAGAAGGUCAAGUUAAUUGAAGCAGGAUUUUGAGGAGCGGGGGGGGGGGGGUUACCUUGAAUUCUUUAAAGACCUGGCUAGGGGUCCCAGAACGGAUUAACCAACUCAUGAGGGUCAGUGGAGAGAGGAAAUUAAAAGUCGUGGGAGAAUUCAAACUAUUGGAUGGACGCGUGAAGAAAUUGAGUGGCAACAAAAUGCCGCCCCCUCAUGUCAAACUAACAAACGUUUAGUAGCCCUAAUGCUUAAAUAACAUUCGUUUAAGAAAGAAAAUGACUAUUGGAAAUGUCUUUCUCAGAGCGACCUCAACAGUAGAUUGUCUGUUUAUCUUUGGAACAAGGUUAGGUCAGCUUAAGAAACCCUGACUAAAUCAACCCUGUCCUCCGUCAAGCUUUACUCGAGUGUCAUGGCCGUUUAAACCUUUCAUUAAAUAGACAAACAAGAACGCUAAGAAAAGGAGAAGAUAGAGUUGCGUGUGUAUGUGUGUGCGUGCGUCUGUAAGCUGACCCAACAGUGAUGUCUGUCUCUAAAUAAAUGCAUGAGGGCUGGCA